This 469-nucleotide ribosomal RNA is filed under the name uncultured bacterium. RNAcentral describes it as "SSU rRNA". It matches the Rfam family "Bacterial small subunit ribosomal RNA", at positions 26 to 518 of the family's 1533-position model. The record is from RNAcentral.
AGGAUAAACGCUGGCGGCGUGCCUAAUGCAUGCAAGUCGAACGGGAGCCCUUUCGGGGGUCGACCGUGGCGGACGGGUGAGGAACGCGUAGCUGACCUGCCCCGACCCGGGGGAUAGUCGCCGGAAACGGCGCGCAAUACCCCAUGCCGUCACUCUGAGGGAUCGGGGUGACGAAAGACGUCAGUCGGGUUGGAGGGGCUGCGGCGGAUUAGCUAGAUGGCGGGGUAACGGCCCACCAUGGCGAUGAUCCGUAGCUGGUCUGAGAGGACGAUCAGCCACACGGGGACUGAGACACGGCCCCGACUCCUACGGGAGGCAGCAGCAAGGAAUUUUCCACAAUGGGCGCAAGCCUGAUGGAGCAACGCCGCGUGCGGGAGGACGCCCUUCGGGGUGUAAACCGCUUUUCGGGGGACGAAGACAAUGACGGUACCCCGGAAGAAGGACCGGCUAACUACGUGCCAGCAGCCGC